UUCGAAAUCACUCUAUUUUAUUUUGUACAUUUUGCUCGUUCGAUUUUCACGAAACUUAGUCUACGAGAUAAUUUGAUGAUGUUAUAUUCAAAUCUCGUUGAGGUCAAGAAAACAAAAUCCAAAAUGAUCAAUCCAAUAGAAUACACAUAAACUGAAUUUUUUAAAAAUAAUUUUAUUUUCAUAAAAACUUAAUUUUAGAACAUUUUUAGUACUGCUACUAAAUAACAUUAAGUUUUGUUUCGUUAGAAAUUCUGUAAGCGUAUCAACACUUCCAAACUCUAAUUAUGAAUCCUAUGGCACAAGUUUAAAUCUUAACAUUUUCAGAUUACAUUCUAAUUCGAACGAUUUCAAGACCCUCUUAAAACCAAGUUUUAUAAUAAUACUCGGAUUAUUUCUUAAGAAUUUCGUCCGUAUUGGAUUCUGAAUUUUAGAUUAUUUCUGAUGUGAAAAUCAGCGAUCUCGAAAAUUUUCAGAAAAAAACACAAGACCUUUCCGUCAAUUAUUUAAUUAAAAUGCCCUGUCCUCAAAGGAUUAACAACUUAAUAAAAAGUUGACGAUAACGCGGUGCACGCUAGCAGUUUAUUCAAAAUUAUUGGAUCCCGGUGACACAAGCGUGCUUUUAUUUUUACAUUUCACUCCUUCGCUUUGUUCCGCAUUUUUCAAUACUCGCGCGCGCGCGAGCGAGCGCUCGAAAUGACGCGCUGCAUUCAGUUGGUAUUCACGAAACGCUGCCGGUCAAUUUUCGCCCAACGCUUUCCCACGAACGGGAACCGAUUAAACAGCGUGUGUGUAACGUAGUAAGUAAUUAAUGCCCAAUAAAGUUAAUGCGAUCGUGGAAUACUAUUCUCUCCUAAGCACUCCGCGAGUGCGAAGUUGUCGCCGCGCCACGGAAUUGUAAGUAGCGUCCACCCACUCGCUGUAACACGGGCAGCGCGCGCGGUACGCGCGACCUUAACCUUACUCGACCUCAACCGUGUCGCAUCGUGUCGUCGCCGCGCUACGCGUGGCUACGAAAAUAAACGACGGGGGUGUGUGCCGAAUCGUCGUCCGGCUCCUCGGGCAAUAAUCGGUCACUCGUCCUGUUGUCGGUGCAAUGUAAUCUCGACACCUCGCGUCGUUCGUUCGUCUCGUAAUUCCGCGAGCGUCCAAAGGGCGACUCUAGCAUACGUAAAGUGCCGAAUAUUGUAGAAUGUAGAUAUAUCUCGUGUGGUAUGCGAUAACGACGGUUAAUUCCUUCCUCGUUUUCGAGAAUACGUCGAUCGUGUGGAGUACGCGAUCGGGACUCAUGCAUGUACACGUCUUUCUUGUGUUUCAUAACCUCCGAGAACGUACGGUAUACAGUGAGCCUACGGAAUAUUCGUACGGAGAAAUAUUUUUUAAAAUCUUGUUUUUAUAGAGCAAACGUUAGAUACUCGGCAAUAUAUUAAUAACUCGAUAGAGAAAGAGCAGGAGAAUCGUAUACAUAUUUUUACGCGUACUUGUUAACCUUAAAAUGCUGAUGCUAUUGAAUAAUAUGCAUUAUAUACAGUGUUAGUAUUGACACGUAAAUUUUAACUUAAAAUUCCGACUUAAAAUCUGUUGACGUAAAACUUGAAUAUAGCUUGGCAUAUCUUAGCGAUCAGAAACGGUGCUUAUUACACAGUUUUGGAAAAUUUGUUAAAUUAAAUUUAAUACAGCUGCACGCCCUCCACUCAAAUUUUUCUUAAUUGAAUGUAAGACGAAUAUGUUAAAGAAAAAGUAAAUAUUGAUACAAUGUAGGAACAGAUUGUAAAUAUAGGGUUAAAAAAAGUCUACGAAUACUUCGUAAACAUACACACGGAGAGUGUCGAUCCGAAUCGUCAUAACAAUCUGGUCGCUCGUCGAGCAUGAAUCGUGCGAUUGUGGAAGACCGACAAACGUGCACGUAUACAAACGAAGUAUCGAAGUGCGAGAAGUUGCCCGGCACUUGACGCCACGUUCACGCCGUUCGUCAGCGAACGACGGCACGCUAACCGUCCGCGACUCGCGUUGCGUACUGGGAAGUACGAGGUAUCAAGACUACGUGAACACGAACAAUGGGCGACGGCAGUCAUUCAUAACGAUCCAGUGAAUCUCUUGGUGUCGCGGGGCUCGCAAAUUUCACGUCGGUCUUGUGUCGUUCCGUCUUGACCGUCAAAAGGGAAAUCUGACGAGCGUAUAUGAAGAGGAACGCAUUCAUCGGGAUUGCUAUGAAACCGUGAGACUGGGCAAAUUGCGUGAUCGUUACAUCACACGUGAUAUAUGUAUACGAAUUACCGGUCGAUCGCAGCCCACGGAUGCAGGAGUUUCGAAGGCGGGAAACGGUGGACGCAGCAACUAUUCUCGAAUAUACUACUUGGCCAAACAACAGUAGCAGCAACACUGGUAUUCGGUCUCAACGAAACGUUUUGGGAACGUAGUAAUUCUUCGCGUAACCGGGCGUUUUACAUUGAAACUGCUGGUUUUGCCAGGAGGCAGCCACCGUUUCCGAUUGCAGAGCCUUGCCAAAGCUCAGCAGUCAACUACGAUGAUAUAUAGAUAUAUGCAUACGAGAUGAUAUCGCGAGCGGGAUAUUUCGAAGUUUUAUUUGAUUCCCGGCAACGCGGAAACACGAAUACGUCACUCGAAAAUGUAACGAAGACAUUUACUUUUGUAUCUCUGUAUACAACGGUUAGAGUAAUUGCUCGAUCGUUAGAAAUAAAUUAUAAUCAAAAAUGCUAAGCUUGAAUAGACAGUUUUAAUUCUGUUGUUUUUUUACGCUUGCCAAUAUCGAUAUAAACAUAAAAAAAUUCAGUAUUAAUUAUUUUAUCUAUCCUUAAUCUAUCUAUGUUUUCGAGAAUACGUUAUGCGAAAUUGUUUUAAAAUAAUCACUAAAUUUUUAAUUAGAUCAAAGUUUGUUCUCUUUGUUGAGAAAAUUGUUAAACCAAUUUCAAAUUCAUCAGCGGAAAUGUAUCUUUUCUUACUUUCUUUACACAUUCUCCAAUAUAUCCUGCUUUUUCAUAUUUAUUCGACUGCUUGUCUCAAAACAAGGCGAAGCAAUAGAGAGUUAAGCAAAUUCCUGGCGUAAAACUGUCGGGACGAGCUACAUUUCGAGGAAACGAGCCGGCUGCCAACUCUAAAUAAACCAAGAGAGGAAAAAGGAAUAGGGAAAUCGAGAUAUAUCCAAGACCAACGCCUAUGGUCGAGCUUAAUUAUUUCGCUCGCGCGACGGUGGCAGAUUAGAAUAAAGCUCACUUUGCGGCGAAAAGACUUCGCUUCGAGAGGAGCAAACGCAAUCUGAAGUUGCCAAGUGCGGCUAGGAAAGGGGGUAGAAUGGGGUGGAGGAUUGGCUCUCUCGCUGGUCCCUGCUCGACCAACACGGAUGAAAAAAACUCCGAUGGAGUUCCGGCGCGGCCUCCUCUGGUCUGGCCCCAGGAAGCGGCGAGAAUUUAAUUAAGAAUUUCCGCGGAUGGCGAGGGCACCAUAUUGCUGUGACACACACGCGUCACCCGGCCGCGAAUCACGCGACUUUCUCCCUCUUUCCCGUAGCCACCCCUAAUUAAAUUGAAAGAAAUCUCACUCUGCCGUUUCCUUCUUCUUUCCUCAUUCUGAUAUCUUUCUCGU
This is a long non-coding RNA of Monomorium pharaonis (pharaoh ant), 3600 nucleotides long. RefSeq lists it as uncharacterized. The record is from RefSeq and is a predicted model, not a curated record. The transcript has 6 exons. NCBI's taxonomy places the organism in Eukaryota, Metazoa, Arthropoda, Insecta, Hymenoptera, Formicidae.